GAGCAGCUCUUUCCAGUUCAUCUUCAACACCAUCAACCAUGUUCUCUGUCUCUCUACUGCUGCUGCUGGCAGCUGCUUCCUGUGUUUACAGUGACCCUGAGGUUAUCCAGUCUGGUCCUGUGGUUGUGAAGCCAGGAGAGUCUUUCACCAUCUCUUGCAAACAUUCUCAGACAUCUUGUCCACGUUGGAUCAGACAAACUAAGGGAAUAAACAUGGAGUAUUUGGGAUAUGGAUGUGCUGAUGGGAGAAAUGAUGUUGUGAAUUCCUUUAAAAACAAGAUUAGUUUCAGAGGUGACAGCUCCAGCAGCACAGUGUUUCUAGAAGGGAGGAACCUGCAGACUGAGGACACAGCUGUGUAUUACUGUGCUAGACAGUCACACUGUUACACAGCAACAGCAGACCUGUACAUGAACCCCCCCCUUCUCUAAAAUAGAUUGAAUAUAAUAGAGAAUA
Non-coding RNA from Osmerus eperlanus (European smelt), 453 nucleotides. Lineage: Eukaryota; Metazoa; Chordata; Actinopteri; Osmeriformes; Osmeridae. The record is from the annotation of a RefSeq genome assembly.